CUUGGUCAUUUAGAGGAAGUAAAAGUCGUAACAAGGUCUCCGUAGGUGAACCUGCGGAGGGAUCAUUACAGAGUUCAUGCCCUUACGGGUAGAUCUCCCACCCUAUGUUAUUAUUACCUUUGUUGCUUUGGCGGGCCGUCAGGCCUCGGUCAGGCUAUCGGCUCCGGCUGGUAAGCGCCCGCCAGAGGACCCAAAAACUCUGAAUGUUAAUGUCGUCUGAGUACUAUAUAAUAGUUAAAACUUUCAACAACGGAUCUCUUGGUUCUGGCAUCGAUGAAGAACGCAGCGAAAUGCGAUAAGUAAUGUGAAUUGCAGAAUUCAGUGAAUCAUCGAAUCUUUGAACGCACAUUGCGCCCCUUGGUAUUCCGAGGGGCAUGCCUGUUCGAGCGUCAUUACAACCCUCAAGCAUUGCUUGGUAUUGGGCUCCGCUGCUCACCCAGCGGGCCUUAAAAUCAGUGGCGGUGCCGUCGAGGCCCUGAGCGUAGUAAAUAUCCUCGCUAUAGGGACUCGGUGGACGCUGGCCAUUAACCCCCAACUUUCUAAGUUUGACCUCGGAUCAGGUAGGGAUACCCGCUGAACUUAAGCAUAUCAAUAAGCGGAGGAAAAGAAACCAACAGGGAUUGCCUCAGUAACGGCGAGUGAAGCGGCAACAGCUCAAAUUUGAAAUCUGGCUCUUUCAGGGUCCGAGUUGUAAUUUGUAGAAGAUGCUUUGGGUGUGGCUCCGGUCUAAGUUCCUUGGAACAGGACGUCAUAGAGGGUGAGAAUCCCGUAUGUGACUGGCUGCCUUCGCCUAUGUAAAGCUCUUUCGACGAGUCGAGUUGUUUGGGAAUGCAGCUCAAAAUGGGUGGUAAAUUUCAUCUAAAGCUAAAUAUUGGCCAGAGACCGAUAGCGCACAAGUAGAGUGAUCGAAAGAUGAAAAGCACUUUGGAAAGAGAGUUAAACAGUACGUGAAAUUGUUGAAAGGGAAGCGCUUGCAACCAGACUUGCACGCGGUUAAUCAUCUGGUGUUCUCACCGGUGCACUUGACCGUGUUCAGGCCAGCAUCGGUUCAGGUGGCGGGAUAAAGGCCUUGGGAAUGUAGCUUCUUUCGGGGAGUGUUAUAGCCCUCGGUGCAAUGCCGCCUACCUGGACCGAGGACCGCGCUUCGGCUAGGAUGCUGCCGUAAUGGUUGUAAGCGACCCGUCUUGAAACACGGACC
This 1198-nucleotide ribosomal RNA is filed under the name uncultured fungus. RNAcentral describes it as "eukaryotic LSU rRNA". The stretch from base 547 to 1198 matches the Rfam family "Eukaryotic large subunit ribosomal RNA", at positions 1 to 667 of the family's 3401-position model. Lineage: Eukaryota; Fungi. The record is from RNAcentral.